CCUACGGGAGGCAGCAGUGGGGAAUUUUGGACAAUGGGCGAAAGCCUGAUCCAGCAAUGCCGCGUGAGUGAAGAAGGCCUUCGGGUUGUAAAGCUCUUUUGUCAGGGAAGAAACGGUGAGAGCUAAUAUCUCUUGCUAAUGACGGUACCUGAAGAAUAAGCACCGGCUAACUACGUGCCAGCAGCCGCGGUAAUACGUAGGGUGCAAGCGUUAAUCGGAAUUACUGGGCGUAAAGCGUGCGCAGGCGGUUUUGUAAGUCUGUCGUGAAAUCCCCGGGCUCAACCUGGGAAUUGCGAUGGAGACUGCAAGGCUAGAAUCUGGCAGAGGGGGGUAGAAUUCCACGUGUAGCAGUGAAAUGCGUAGAGAUGUGGAGGAACACCGAUGGCGAAGGCAGCCCCCUGGGUCAAGAUUGACGCUCAUGCACGAAAGCGUGGGGAGCAAACAGGAUUAGAUACCCUGGUAGUCCACGCCCUAAACGAUGUCUACUAGUUGUCGGGUUUUAAUUAACUUGGUAACGCAGCUAACGCGUGAAGUAGACCGCCUGGGGAGUCGGUCGCAAGNUUAAAACUUNAAAUUGAAUUGNGNGNGNGAGNGCGAGACGACGACGAGGAGGAGG
RNAcentral lists this ribosomal RNA (616 nucleotides) under uncultured bacterium. RNAcentral describes it as "bacterial SSU rRNA". It matches the Rfam family "Bacterial small subunit ribosomal RNA", at positions 338 to 947 of the family's 1533-position model. The record is from RNAcentral.